Molecule: ribosomal RNA, 403 nt
Filed under: uncultured bacterium
Lineage: Bacteria
Description: partial 16S ribosomal RNA
Rfam family: Bacterial small subunit ribosomal RNA
Source: RNAcentral
AUUGAACGCUGGCGGCAGGCCUAACACAUGCAAGUCGAGCGAGCGGCGGACGGGUGAGUAAUGUAUGGGGACUGCCCGAUAGCGGGGGAUAACUACUGGAAACGGUGGCUAAUACCGCAUACUAUCGGAUAACCCAUAUGGGAUUAGAUAGUAGGUGGGGUAAAGGCUCACCUAGGCGACGAUCUCUAGCUGGUCUGAGAGGAUGAUCAGCAAAACGGGGACUGAGACACUGCCCAAAGUCCUACGGAGGCAGCAGUGGGGAAUAUUGCACAAUGGUCGAAAGCCUGAUGCAGCCAUGCCGCGUGUAUGAAGAAGGCCUUAGGGUUGGAAAGUACUUGCAGCGGUGAGGCGUUACCCGCAGAAGAAGCACCGGCUAACUCCGUGCCAGCAGCCGCGGUAAUUC